Molecule: ribosomal RNA, 253 nt
Filed under: uncultured bacterium
Lineage: Bacteria
Description: partial 16S ribosomal RNA
Rfam family: Bacterial small subunit ribosomal RNA
Source: RNAcentral
UACGAAGGGUGCAAGCGUUACUCGGAAUUACUGGGCGUAAAGAGCGCGCAGGCGGCUGGUCAAGUCCGAUGUGAAAGCUCCCGGCUUAACUGGGAAAUUGCAUCGGAAACUGAUCGGCUGGAAGGUGGGAGAGGGUAGCGGAAUUCCCGGUGUAGUGGUGAAAUGCGUAGAUAUCGGGAGGAACACCAGUGGCGAAAGCGGCUACCUGGCCCAUUCUUGACGCUGAGGCGCGAAAGCUAGGGGAGCAAACGGG